RNAcentral lists this long non-coding RNA (1037 nucleotides) under Sorghum bicolor (sorghum). RNAcentral's name for it is "long non-coding RNA (SBIC_LNC009585)". The record is from RNAcentral. Lineage: Eukaryota; Viridiplantae; Streptophyta; Magnoliopsida; Poales; Poaceae.
CAUCUUCCGAUGCUUCCACGAGCUGAUGCACCUCGUCGACUCCAUCCUCGUCCACAUCAUCCUCUAUGAGCCCACCUCCUCAUCGUCCUUCCUGCCGGUUGUGCUCCUCUUCGACCAGAUCUAAGCCAGCAACGCUCUUCUCUAAUCAGGUCUAGGUGGUGACUGGAUCUAGGCUCUUCUUCUGGUGUGGCGCAUGAGGGCUGGCCUCCUCCUUUGGCAUGGCUGUGUGUGGCCUCAUGGCGCCUGAAUCCAUGGCAUGGCCUCUCUCUCCCUCACCGAUGCUCGUAUCCACAGUGAUGAUGACAAUGGCACCUUGAUCCAUGGUUUUUUUGUUUUUUGUUCUUUUAUUUGAUUAACCGAGGCGGGCAUCCAAACUGACUCGGUCAAUGUUUGACUUACUAUGACCAUUAGUCCAAGCGAUUGUGAUGCCCACCUUGGUAAAUUCAUUUUGCCCGCCUCAAAAAAGUUUUUUAGUAGUAGUGAACUAGAAAGAAGGAUGUCUAGCCCUAGGCGGAGGGCCUCCCCCUCCCCUCACCAUAUAUCGAGUAGACAGGCUCAUCCCUCAUGAGGGCAUAGCUCCUCAGUUUGUUCCAAGUACAAGGGUAGGUUGUGGGUUGGUGCAGAGGUGUUGAGGGGCUUGAGGCAAACACAAUCACUAAGGCGGGUGCCCCAGUGAUAAGCAUGUGGCUUGUAGCACGAGUGUUCUUGAGGUAGGCGAUGCGGUGAGCGUGUAAGGGCAGGCAUAAUGAGCAUGCUAAUGGGGGUAGUUGUGCUAAGAACUAAGCUCAAGCAGGUAGCUUUGUAGGGGUAGCUUUGACAGGUGGGGUAGGAAGGCAGGCCCCAUGUACAAUGGUGUACAGAGGAUUUGGGAGGAAGAAAAUAUGUGGUCGAGAGAUUGUGAGUAGACCCCAUGUUUCACGGUUACAAUGUCGAAAUUGUGUUCAUCCCGUUCAUCUCUAUCAGUACAACCGAAGAAAAAAAUAAGAACGGACUAUCCUUUUCAACCAAACGUAUAAUGGGACCAUCACAUCCCACAU